This 500-nucleotide ribosomal RNA is filed under the name uncultured Glomeromycotina. Its description in RNAcentral is "partial small subunit ribosomal RNA". It matches the Rfam family "Eukaryotic small subunit ribosomal RNA", at positions 591 to 1092 of the family's 1831-position model. Lineage: Eukaryota; Fungi; Glomeromycota. The record is from RNAcentral.
CCAAUAGCGUAUAUUAAAGUUGUUGCAGUUAAAAAGCUCGUAGUUGAAUUUCGGGGUUAGUAGGUUGGUCAUGCCUCUGGUAUGUACUGGUCUCACUGAUUCCUCCUUCCUGAUGAACCGUAAUGCCAUUAAUUUGGUGUUGCGGGGAAUUUGGACUGUUACUUUGAAAAAAUUAGAGUGUUUAAAGCAAGCUAACGCUUGAAUACAUUAGCAUGGAAUAAUGAAAUAGGACGUUCGAUCCUAUUUUGUUGGUUUCUAGGAUUGACAUAAUGAUUAAUAGGGAUAGUUGGGGGCAUUAGUAUUCAAUUGUCAGAGGUGAAAUUCUUGGAUUUAUUGAAGACUAACUACUGCGAAAGCAUUUGCCAAGGAUGUUUUCAUUAAUCAAGAACGAAAGUUAGGGGAUCGAAGACGAUCAGAUACCGUCGUAGUCUUAACCAUAAACUAUGCCGACUAGGGAUCGGAUGAUGUUAAUUUUUUAAUGACUCAUUCGGCGCCUUACG